ACCUUUUGUAAAUUUGAAGUCUGAUGGAAAUCCGUGAAGUUUGUAGCACUUGUCAAUGAGGUGACCAGGUUUCUUACAAUACCUACACACUAAGUUUGCCCUGUUGAGGUCAAAAUUGAGUCUCUGACUGAACUGCUUAGGGUACCCAGCUGUGGGAGGAGGAAAUUUUGUGAUUGGGGGAUAUGUUGCUGAGAUGAGUAUUGAAGGCACUCGAAUCAUGACGAAAUUGGGAAGGUGAUGAAACUUGUCUCUGUCUCUCAUCUUGGAGUAAAAUGUUGUAUGCACAAUCCAGACUUGGUGGAGGCUGUAACAUGAGAAUGUUGCUCCUGACUCCCACAUAUAUGUCAUUGAGCCCCAUUAGAAACCGAAAGUUGGUGGAGGCUGUAACAUAAGAAUGUUGCUCCUAACUCCCACAUAGAUGUCAUUGAGCCCCAUAAGAAUCUGAUGCAAUUUGUUUUCAUCAUCCUCCCUUUGAAGCUCGGAUCUGGCAGUGCAUGUACAAGUGUUACCACGAGAUGCUCGCAUGAAACCCAGCUCAUCCCAUAGUUUCUUUAACUUGUUGAAACGGGAUGCUAUAUCCAAAGACCCCUGAUUAGUUGAUGCCAAUUCCUGUUUAAUCUCAAAUAUCCUGGUCCCAUUGACAGUCCCAUAUCUAGUGUUAAGUUGAUUCCAGAUGCUUUGAGCAGUGUCGGAAUACUGAACACUCUCGGCUAUCUCCGGCGCAAGAAAAUUAGUAAGCCAAGAGAUAACCAUGUUGUUACACCUAUCUCAUUGUCUAAACUGAGGAGAGUUUUCUGGAGGUUUGGGAAUCGUUCCGUCAAUGAAACCUAUCUUAUUUCUAGCGGAUAGGGAGACGAUUA
RNAcentral lists this long non-coding RNA (860 nucleotides) under Nicotiana benthamiana. RNAcentral describes it as "long non-coding RNA (NBEN_LNC028790)". The record is from RNAcentral. Lineage: Eukaryota; Viridiplantae; Streptophyta; Magnoliopsida; Solanales; Solanaceae.